This 425-nucleotide ribosomal RNA is filed under the name uncultured bacterium. Its description in RNAcentral is "partial 16S ribosomal RNA". It matches the Rfam family "Bacterial small subunit ribosomal RNA", at positions 354 to 796 of the family's 1533-position model. The record is from RNAcentral.
GUGGGGAAUCUUGCGCAAUGGGCGAAAGCCUGACGCAGCCAUGCCGCGUGAAUGAUGAAGGUCUUAGGAUUGUAAAAUUCUUUCACCGGGGACGAUAAUGACGGUACCCGGAGAAGAAGCUCCGGCUAACUUCGUGCCAGCAGCCGCGGUAAUACGAAGGGGGCUAGCGUUGCUCGGAAUUACUGGUCGUAAAGGGCGCGUAGGCGGACAGCUUAGUCAGAGGUGAAAGCCCAGGGCUCAACCUUGGAAUUGCCUUUGAUACUGGCUGUCUUGAGUUUGGGAGAGGUGAGUGGAACUCCGAGUGUAGAGGUGAAAUUCGUAGAUAUUCGGAAGAACACCAGUGGCGAAGGCGACUCACUGGCCCAAUACUGACGCUGAGGCGCGAAAGCGUGGGGAGCAAACAGGAUUAGAAACCCUGGUAGUCC